RNAcentral lists this long non-coding RNA (485 nucleotides) under Equus asinus (donkey). RNAcentral describes it as "lncRNA (ENSEASG00005027589.1)". The record is from RNAcentral. Lineage: Eukaryota; Metazoa; Chordata; Mammalia; Perissodactyla; Equidae.
GGCCGGAAGGCGGGGCCUCGAUGGGAAACAAAACUGAUACGGAGGCUGAGCAGACACUCUGCGUAAGAUCAUCAUGCCGAACAUAAACUGGACUUUCCCACUUGCCUGGCAGGAGUGAGACAGAUCACUGUGUGCUAAAUGAGCAUCUGAGAAGAGGAGAGAUGGAAUGACUUGGGCAAGAUACACAGUCAGUAGAUGGGGGUCCUGCUGCCUCUGCUUGUGAUGCUGGACUACAGCCUGGCACAGAACUUCUUUCCAUCCUUAUUUCUCUGAUGACUGCAAGGUGAUUAAAUCAAACUUCAUUCAUUGAGGAACUCAGCGGAUUAUUUUAUUCACUUCUGACCAAGAUGGAGAAAGAGAAACCAGAUUUACCCUUCCAUCUGAAACAACCAAAACAAAAAACAGACAAAAUAGGAAGCAGUGCUUUUAAAGAUACUGGACAUCAGGCGACAGGGGACAGUAAUCCCUGAGAGACAGAAAAUGAG